Drosophila miranda is the source of this 185-nucleotide long non-coding RNA. RefSeq lists it as uncharacterized. NCBI's taxonomy places the organism in Eukaryota, Metazoa, Arthropoda, Insecta, Diptera, Drosophilidae. The transcript has 2 exons. The record is from RefSeq and is a predicted model, not a curated record.
ACUUUUGUUUAGCUUCCGAAUAAAUAUAUUAUUAAGUGAAAUGGAGGCUAUUUUAAAUACGCAGUUUCAGCAGCUGGAAGAUAUCAUCGGGGAAAUAUUAAAAGUAAAAAAGAGCGGGCAGAACUCAGACACAUUGCGAACUGCGGCGGCAUUGAAAUUUGUUGCAUUAAAGCAUGCAAAUCGAG